AUUGAACGCUGGCGGCAUGCCUUACACAUGCAAGUCGAACGGUAACGCGGGCAACCUGGCGACGAGUGGCGGAACGGGUGAGUAAUAUAUCGGAACGUGCCCAGUAGUGGGGGAUACGCCCGGACGAAAGCCGGAUUAAUACCGCAUACGACCUAUGGGUGAAAGCGGGGGAUCGCAAGACCUCGCGCUAUUGGAGCGGCCGAUAUCAGAUUAGGUAGUUGGUGGGGUAAAGGCCUACCAAGCCUACGAUCUGUAGCUGGUCUGAGAGGACGACCAGCCACACUGGGACUGAGACACGGCCCAGACUCCUACGGGAGGCAGCAGUGGGGAAUUUUGGACAAUGGGCGCAAGCCUGAUCCAGCCAUGCCGCGUGCGGGAAGAAGGCCUUCGGGUUGUAAACCGCUUUUGUCAGGGAAGAAAUCUUCUGGGCUAAUACCUCGGGAGGAUGACGGUACCUGAAGAAUAAGCACCGGCUAACUACGUG
RNAcentral lists this ribosomal RNA (484 nucleotides) under uncultured bacterium. Its description in RNAcentral is "bacterial SSU rRNA". It matches the Rfam family "Bacterial small subunit ribosomal RNA", at positions 30 to 507 of the family's 1533-position model. The record is from RNAcentral.